RNAcentral lists this ribosomal RNA (253 nucleotides) under uncultured bacterium. Its description in RNAcentral is "partial 16S ribosomal RNA". It matches the Rfam family "Bacterial small subunit ribosomal RNA", at positions 524 to 776 of the family's 1533-position model. The record is from RNAcentral.
UACGAAGGGGGCUAGCGUUGCUCGGAAUCACUGGGCGUAAAGCGCACGUAGGCGGCUUUUUAAGUCAGGGGUGAAAUCCUGGAGCUCAACUCCAGAACUGCCUUUGAUACUGAGAAGCUUGAGUCCGGGAGAGGUGAGUGGAACUGCGAGUGUAGAGGUGAAAUUCGUAGAUAUUCGCAAGAACACCAGUGGCGAAGGCGGCUCACUGGCCCGGUACUGACGCUGAGGUGCGAAAGCGUGGGGGGCAAACAGG